AUUUUUUUCAUUUAAUUUAAUUUAUUAAUGUUAAUUAUUUUCUAUUUAGUUAUCAAACUUUCAUGACACGGAACUCGGGUUUGACGGGUUAACCCAGUUAAUUUAGAUUUUUUUUCUUUUUCUUGAUUAGUUUUUUUCCUUCCUAUUGGUUUUUUUUAAUUAAUUUAUUUAAUUAUCACACUUUUGUGACACGACCUUGCAGUCAGACUCACAUUCAAGACUAUUGAAUCUGGUAUUGCAGUUAGACCCACUUAAACUUAGGUAGUGCAAGUUUAAUGUUAUUAUUAAUAAUAUAAAUAUUAUUCUUGGAUCAAACGUUGCAGCCAAACCCAAGACUCUUGGAUAUAACUUUGCAGAAAGAUCUAAUAUUUUUAGAUCUUAGUUUUUUUUGAUAUUUUUUAAGCAAAAAA
Populus euphratica (Euphrates poplar) is the source of this 410-nucleotide long non-coding RNA. RefSeq lists it as uncharacterized. The transcript is spliced from 2 exons. The record is from RefSeq and is a predicted model, not a curated record. Lineage: Eukaryota; Viridiplantae; Streptophyta; Magnoliopsida; Malpighiales; Salicaceae.